AGAGCGAACGCUGGCGGCAGGCCUAACACAUGCAAGUCGAGCGGCCGUAGCAAUACGGCAGCGGCAGACGGGAGAGUAACACGUGGGAACGCGCCCUUCGGUUCGGAAUAACUCAGGGAAACUUGGGCUAAUACCGGAUACGCCCUUACGGGGAAAGAUUUAUUGCCGAAGGAACGGCCCGCGUCCGAUUAGCUUGUUGGUGAGGUAACGGCUCACCAAGGCGACGAUCGGUAGCUGGUCUGAGAGGAUGACCAGCCUCACUGGGACUGAGACACGGCCCAGACUCCUACGGGAGGCAGCAGUGGGGAAUAUUGGACAAUGGGCGCAAGCCUGAUCCAGCCAUGCCGCGUGGGUGAUGAAGGCCCUAGGGUUGUAAAGCCCUUUGGCGGGGAAGAUAAUGACGGUACCGCAGAAGAAGCCCCGGCUAACUUCGUGCCAGCAGCCGC
Molecule: ribosomal RNA, 446 nt
Filed under: uncultured bacterium
Lineage: Bacteria
Description: SSU rRNA
Rfam family: Bacterial small subunit ribosomal RNA
Source: RNAcentral